AUACGGAGGAUCCGAGCGUUAUCCGGAUUUAUUGGGUUUAAAGGGUGCGCAGGCGGCCAUUUAAGUCAGCGGUUAAAUCGUGGGGCUCAACCCCAUUCUGCCGUUGAUACUGGGUGGCUUGAUUGCGGUCGAGGUUGGCGGAAUUCGUUGUGUAGCGGUGAAAUGCAUAGAUAUGACGAAGAACACCGAUUGCGUAGGCAGCUGACCAGACCGCAAAUGACGCUCAUGCACGAAAGUGCGGGGAUCGAACAGGAUUAGAUACCCCGGUAGUCCGCACAGUAAACGAUGAAUACUUGUUUUCGGCGAUAUAAUGUCGGAGGCAAAGCGAAAGCGAUAAGUAUUCCACCUGGGGAGUACGCCGGCAACGGUGAAACUCAAAGGAAUUGACGGGG
This 392-nucleotide ribosomal RNA is filed under the name uncultured bacterium. RNAcentral describes it as "partial 16S ribosomal RNA". It matches the Rfam family "Bacterial small subunit ribosomal RNA", at positions 523 to 918 of the family's 1533-position model. The record is from RNAcentral.